GGUACUGGGAUGAACUAGCAUGCGAGUCAUUGUAGUAAUACAAGGCAGACGGCUCAGUAACGCGUAGUCAACCUACCCUAAGGACGGGGAUAACCUCGGGAAACUGAGAAUAAUACCCGAUAGAACAUAGCUCCUGGAAUGGUUUAUGUUUCAAAUAAUUUAUUGCCCUAGGAUGGGACUGCGGCCUAUCAGUUUGUUGGUGAGGUAAUGGCCCACCAAGACUAUUACAGGUACGGGCUCUGAGAGGAGUGGCCCGGAGAUGGGUACUGAGACACGGACCCAGGCCCUAUGGGGCGCAGCAGGCGAGAAAACUUUGUAAUGUGCGAAAGCACGACAAGGUUAAUCCGAGUGGUUUCUGCUAAAGAAACCUUUUGUUAGUCCUAGAAACACUGAUGAAUAAGGGGUGGGCAAGUUCUGGUGUCAGCCGCCGCGGUAAAACCAGCACCUCAAGUGGUCAGGAUGAUUAUUGGGCCUAAAGCAUCCGUAGCCGGCUAUGUAAGUUUUCGGUUAAAUCUGUGCGCUUAACGUACAGGCUGCCGGGAAUACUGCAUAGCUAGGAAGUGGGAGAGGUAGACGGUACUCGGUAGGAAGGGGUAAAAUCCUUUGAUCUAUUGAUGACCACCUGUGGCGAAGGCGGUCUACCAGAACACGUUCGACGGUGAGGGAUGAAAGCUGGGGGAGCAAACCGGAUUAGAUACCCGGGUAGUCCCAGCUGUAAACUAUGCAAACUCAAUGAUGCAUUGGCUUGUGGCCAAUGCAGUGUUGCAGGGAAGCCGUUAAGUUUGCCGCCUGGGAAGUACGUACGCAAGUAUGAAACUUAAAGGAAUUGGCGGGGGAGCACCACAAGGGGUGAAGCCUGCGGUUCAAUUGGAGUCAACGCCGGG
RNAcentral lists this ribosomal RNA (884 nucleotides) under uncultured archaeon. Its description in RNAcentral is "bacterial SSU rRNA". It matches the Rfam family "Archaeal small subunit ribosomal RNA", at positions 29 to 922 of the family's 1478-position model. The record is from RNAcentral.